Cyprinus carpio (common carp) is the source of this 1373-nucleotide long non-coding RNA. Lineage: Eukaryota; Metazoa; Chordata; Actinopteri; Cypriniformes; Cyprinidae. The record is from Ensembl.
AUGGUUUAUGGACAGUCCUUUGAAUGCCAUUUUGGUUACCUGACUCUUAAAUUUCACAGGGUACCCAAAAUAAGUGGCGCAGUUGGUGGGAAGAAAAAGCUAAAGUGUUGUAGACACCAAGUGAGAGGCCCAGAGGAAGUGAAAGAAGAUUUAGGAAGGGACUAUCAUCAUAUUUGGCAAUCCUUGACAUCAAGAAGUUUGAAAACCACUGUAGAAUCAAUAGAGAACACAUCAAUAUCUGAAUAUGCUUUUACUAAUAUAUGUGCCAAAUGAAAAGUCUGUGGGCAUGUCUUAAUUGUUUGGAAAGCUUUGACCUUUUAAAGAAAUGUCUAAUAUCGAUUGAGAGCUGCGAAGACAUUAUUUGAAAUGACUGAUGUUUAUAGCGUCUAUAGCUGAAAGACUUUAAUGUUUUUUCAAAGGGCAAUGUGUAAUAACUGAUUUAUGUCUCCUGGACUCCAGUGAAGGUACCAGGAGAUCAUUCCCUGCAGGGAAAAACUAAAUCCUGUAUGUAAACUACCUAGGUCAUACCUUCUGCUCUCUAACACCAGCCAUAUGAGAAAAUUGCAAGCACAUGUGGUUUUGAUAGGGACGCAGUGUUAGUCCUGUUCCAUGCUUUCUCAGAGCAGUUACCACAGAGCAGGACUGUUACAUAGGCAAAACCAGCCCAAUCUCACAGCGACCACAUGCAGAGAGGACUGAAAAAUCAACACACAUGUUUGGAGUAAUAUGAAGGAGAUCUCCGUGUAUUAAGUUGAGGCUCCAUGCUUCUGUGACUCACUGAGAAUUAAGUUUCAUGGUGGAAGCGCUGUUGACCUGAUCAUGGGGGUCCAUCACUGAAAGCUUGAUCAUUUGAUGGAGGAGAACUAAAUUGACAGAUGCUUAAAAUUUGUUGGAGCUACUUAAGGUUUCUGCUUUGAAAGUAUAGUACACAUUUACCACAUUGAUGCACCAGUCUGGCUCCAGGAUUUAAUGUAAUAGUUCAGCCAAAAAUGAAAAUUUGGUUAUCAUUUACUCAUCCUUAUAUUAUUCCAAACAUAUAUGGCUUUCUUUCUUUUGAAAGAUAUUUUGAAAAAUGUGUGACACUUUAUUUUACAGUGUCCUUCACCUACAGUGUCCAAUACUGAUGUCUGCCCCAGUGACAGCCUUUGUACUUUAUUUUUUUUCUGAGAGUGUUGUUACACGUUGCUUGCACUUACUAUAGUAAUAACAGUACAUUAUGAACAAUUACAAGCAACUAACCUCAAACCAAACUCUAAUCUUAACCCCAACUCUAUGUACAUGUUGUUAAUUAAUAUUACUCAGUACUUUUGUAUAAUUGGAUAACUGCACUGUAACCAGGCCACCUUAAAAUAAAGUGUAACCAAAUGUGUGCA